Rhipicephalus microplus (southern cattle tick) is the source of this 322-nucleotide long non-coding RNA. The record is from RefSeq and is a predicted model, not a curated record. NCBI's taxonomy places the organism in Eukaryota, Metazoa, Arthropoda, Arachnida, Ixodida, Ixodidae.
UAUUUCGUGUUGUGCGGUUACAAUUAGCUACGUCGCCCAUAACUCGUGUAUCGCGGCAAAUAAGUUUCUUUUGUAAGCCGGCAAACACCAAACCGUAGCCACGGAGUACCGACUAGUACUUCGGGAAGACAUGGCUUUCCCACCCCACAGACCGCCACUGGGCAUGCCCGGCAUGCCGAUGCCACCCAUGUUGGCACCGCCAUACACAAUGCCGCACAUGGUCCCAGGAGGCAUGAUACCUAUGGCCAUGGGCGUGAUGCCACCGAUGAUGGCACAUGUGGCCGUGACGGUGCCCCCGUCGAUACCGAUUCUGGCGCAGCCG